RNAcentral lists this long non-coding RNA (1065 nucleotides) under Chinchilla lanigera (long-tailed chinchilla). Its description in RNAcentral is "lncRNA (ENSCLAG00000028416.1)". The record is from RNAcentral. Lineage: Eukaryota; Metazoa; Chordata; Mammalia; Rodentia; Chinchillidae.
UGUGUCCCGAGGACCAUGGCAACCCAGUUACUGUUUUCUUUCCUUUUUAAAAUUUAACCAUUGAACUAGCCCCUGCCCACACCUGCCUCUGUUUUCUAGUCAACUUUCUGCUGUGUGUAGCACGGAGAGUCUUUACUGGGUAGCUUUUGUUGAUGGCAGGCACAAUUCACAAUUCUGUCUUCUCACCCUUUUAUUGAAAUGGCAAAAUCCAAGCACAAAUACUGUUGUUAAGAGGGCUGAGAAGGCUACAGGAGACCAGAGUCACUGACCUUUAUUUUGAAAAUCAAGACCUCUUUUAAAGUUCCUGGAAGGAACUUAAGGAUGCUGUCGUUCAUGAGGGCACCGCAGAGUCCGGUGCAUGCAUGAAUGAAUGCACGAACACAUCAGUGCAUGCAGUCUACUGGCCCCAGCGAGGUCACCAUCUCAUCUCAGAUACUCAGAAACAAAACAGGGAAGGUCAAGGGAGCAAAUGCUACCUACAGGAGACUCAAGCACAUGAUGUGGACAAGGACACAGUGGGGAGAGUCAAUCCAUAUCAACAGAAAGAAGCUAGAAGGCAGUGAUCCUGAAUCGGUUGUGACACACCAACUGCUACAGUGCAAACAAGCGUGCUUCCCUGGGAGACACGGCACACGGCAAGUGAGGUCUCUGUGCCCGUGGCUCCUGAUGAGGGGGCUUAGUUCCUCAUGGAGUCAGUGCUUUAAUAAAUAGCACUGGAUGUGGCUGCUAAUGGUUUGUGGCCUUCCUGUCUUGGGGCAUUUGCUGAGCUGUCCGGUGAAGGCAAAGACAGACAAGGUCCUUCAUUCUCCUGCCUCUUCCUUUUUGAUAACUCCCUGGGGCCUCUCAAGUCAUCGUCCUUGCCGUUCAUUAUUGGUUUUGCUAAGGGGAAAGCAAGGCAGGGCAGCUGCUCUGAGUGGCCGGAAAAGAAAAGGAAAGGGUGAUUAGCAGGGGUAGGAUGGGGAGACCCUUUGGCAAUCUUGUUUGUGAAAAUUACUCUAUUUGGCCUCUACCGUAGAUGAGAGAGGUUCACUGAAUUACCUUGAAUCUCCUGCUAUUGUUCUGGAG